CUGUUGAGCUUGACUCUAGUCCGA
Molecule: non-coding RNA, 24 nt
Filed under: Arabidopsis thaliana (thale cress)
Lineage: Eukaryota; Viridiplantae; Streptophyta; Magnoliopsida; Brassicales; Brassicaceae
Also listed under: 2 other names
Source: RNAcentral